ACGCUCGACACCUACGGGGCAGCAGUGGGGAAUAUUGCACAAUGGGGGAAACCCUGAUGCAGCGACGCCGCGUGGAGGAAGAAGGUCUUCGGAUUGUAAACUCCUGUUGUUGGGGAAAAAGAGGAUGGUACCCAACAAGGAAGUGACGGCUAACUACGUGUCAGCAGCCGCGGUAAUCUGAGCGGGCUGGCAAGGC
Molecule: ribosomal RNA, 196 nt
Filed under: uncultured bacterium
Lineage: Bacteria
Description: partial 16S ribosomal RNA
Rfam family: Bacterial small subunit ribosomal RNA
Source: RNAcentral